GACGAACGCUGGCGGCGUGCUUAACACAUGCAAGUCGAACGGUAAGGCCCUUCGGGGUACACGAGUGGCGAACGGGUGAGUAACACGUGGGUGAUCUGCCCUGCACUUCGGGAUAAGCCUGGGAAACUGGGUCUAAUACCGGAUAGGACCACUGCCUGCAUGGGUGGUGGUGGAAAGCUUUUGCGGUGGGGGAUGGGCCCGCGGCCUAUCAGCUUGUUGGGGGGGUGAUGGCCUACCAAGGCGACGACGGGUAGCCGGCCUGAGAGGGUGACCGGCCACACUGGGACUGAGAUACGGCCCAGACUCCUACGGGAGGCAGCAGUGAGGAAUAUUGCACAAUGGGCGCAAGCCUGAUGCAGCGACGCCGCGUGAGGGAUGACGGCCUUCGGGUUGUAAACCUCUUUCAGCACCGACGAAGCGCAAGUGACGGUAGGUGCAGAAGAAGGACCGGCCAACUACGUGCCAGCCGCCGCAGUAA
RNAcentral lists this ribosomal RNA (478 nucleotides) under uncultured bacterium. RNAcentral describes it as "partial 16S ribosomal RNA". It matches the Rfam family "Bacterial small subunit ribosomal RNA", at positions 28 to 523 of the family's 1533-position model. The record is from RNAcentral.